CUUGCUUCUCUUGAGAGCGGCGGACGGGUGAGUAAUGCCUAGGAAUCUGCCUGGUAGUGGGGGAUAACGUCCGGAAACGGACGCUAAUACCGCAUACGUCCUACGGGAGAAAGCAGGGGACCUUCGGGCCUUGCGCUAUCAGAUGAGCCUAGGUCGGAUUAGCUAGUUGGUGGGGUAAUGGCUCACCAAGGCGACGAUCCGUAACUGGUCUGAGAGGAUGAUCAGUCACACUGGAACUGAGACACGGUCCAGACUCCUACGGGAGGCAGCAGUGGGGAAUAUUGGACAAUGGGCGAAAGCCUGAUCCAGCCAUGCCGCGUGUGUGAAGAAGGUCUUCGGAUUGUAAAGCACUUUAAGUUGGGAGGAAGGGCAGUAAAUUAAUACUUUGCUGUUUUGACGUUACCGACAGAAUAAGCACCGGCUAACUCUGUGCCAGCAGCCGCGGUAAUACAGAGGGUGCAAGCGUUAAUCGGAAUUACUGGGCGUAAAGCGCGCGUAGGUGGUUCGUUAAGUUGGAUGUGAAAUCCCCGGGCUCAACCUGGGAACUGCAUUCAAAACUGACGAGCUAGAGUAUGGUAGAGGGUGGUGGAAUUUCCUGUGUAGCGGUGAAAUGCGUAGAUAUAGGAAGGAACACCAGUGGCGAAAGCGACCACCUGGACUGAUACUGACACUGAGGUGCGAAAGCGUGGGGAGCAAACA
This 699-nucleotide ribosomal RNA is filed under the name uncultured bacterium. Its description in RNAcentral is "bacterial SSU rRNA". It matches the Rfam family "Bacterial small subunit ribosomal RNA", at positions 79 to 774 of the family's 1533-position model. The record is from RNAcentral.